UACGUAGGAGGCGAGCGUUGUCCGGAAUUACUGGGCGUAAAGGGCGCGUAGGCGGCCUGGUGAGCGUGCUGUGAAAGCCCCCGGCUCAACUGGGGAGGGACGGUGCGGACUGCCCGGCUCACACGAGUGUCGGAGAGGGACGUGGAAUUCCCGGAGUAGUGGUGAAAUACGUAGAUCCCGGGAGGAACACCAGUGGCGAAGGCGGCGUCCUGGCCGAUAACUGACGCUGAGGCGCGAAAGCGUGGGGAGCGAACGG
RNAcentral lists this ribosomal RNA (256 nucleotides) under uncultured bacterium. Its description in RNAcentral is "partial 16S ribosomal RNA". It matches the Rfam family "Bacterial small subunit ribosomal RNA", at positions 524 to 775 of the family's 1533-position model. The record is from RNAcentral.